CCCAAAUGCCCAAAAAUAGAUGACUGGAUCAAGAAGAUGUGGUCCAUAUACACCAUGGAAUAUCACUCAGCAUUCAAAAAAGAUAAACUCAUGCCAUUUGCAGCAACAUGGAUGGAGCUGGAAGGGAUCAUGCUCAGCGAAAUAAGCCAGAAAGAAGACGAAAAACACUGGAUGGUCUCACUCAUAGCAGGAAUUUAGAAACCAGCAAAGCACCUGUAGUCCAUGACCUUAGUCUAUCCUUUGCACUUGUUUUCUUCACGUUGUAUAGAAGAAACGGAUUAAGUAGAAGAAGCCAUACAUUUCUGGGCAUUAAAGAAUAGUUUGUGUGGUUGUUCAGAAUCAUCUUGGAAGGUGCAGUGAUUUAUCUCUCCAUAUCCUCCAGAUAUUUCUUAGCUCGUAAGUGUCUUCUAGUACCACCGUCUCUUCUCCCAUCAGCAUACACUCUGUUUGCCUUCCUUGCUCCUAGAAGCUGCCCAAGGACAUAUGACAAUAUUCUAAGAUCUUUCCAGGCCCUCCAUGGAUGGCAGUGGUUUCAUAUCACGCUUAAACAAUCUCCUGAGGUUGUGACCUGAGAGAUCCUGGCUUGGGGGAUCGUCCACAGACCACGGCUGUACUCCAUGCUCCGACCUGAUGCUCUCCUCAGGAUCGGGAACACAAUGCCCUAGGGACACCAGGUGACUGCAGGUCUCCAGCAUCACAUCCCGGUACAGGGUCCUCCGAGCUUCACUCAGGCACUGCUACUCCUCCCAGGUGAAGUUCACAGCCACGUCUUCAAAUGACACCGUCCCUUCUGAGGGAACAUUUCUCAUCUCAGGGCCGGCAGCCUCGGGGCGCCCCAGCGCUACAUUUUACUUUUUUUAAAAAGAUUUUUAUUUAUGCAUAGAAGAACUGUGGUGUUGGCCAGGUGUUGGGGGGGGCGGGGUGUGUGAGAGGAUUGACCAGGGACAGAGUGGUGAGUAGCACAGGCAGAUCUACUGAAAUGCACUGCUGAGGGGAGCAGAAAGAGACAAGAGAGGUCUGCUGUGCCAUGUGGGUUAGCUUCCUGGCCGGGGAUGGAACUCAUGAGGAAGUGGCUGGUGAUAGCUGGAUAGCGCUGAGACUUUAACCUCUGUGCCACCAGGGAGGCCCCAAAAUGAGCCAAAUUUAAAAGGACAAAUGUUAAAUGAUCCCACUUACAAAGUUCUGAAAACAGAGGAUUAAGAUGCUCUGAUGUUAUACCUAUUUUCAACUCAGUUUUUAAAGUCUUGUGUACAGCAGAAAUAGAGCUGUACUUCUAUACCAGAGCCUGUAAUUCAACAGCAGCACUACUUCAGGCCAGAUCAUUCUUUGCUGUGGGGCUGUCCUGUGCAUCGUAGCUUGUGUAGCACUGUACCUGGCUUUGACUAGAUGCCUGCAGCACCUCUGAUGACAAUCAGAGGUAUGUGCAGAAAACGCCACUGUCCCUUGAUAGAGGUCAUACUAAUCCCUGUGGAGAACCACUGGUCUGGACUAACUUUGCUAAUUGUUGUUUGAUGCUCAGCCACAGGAGUCUUUCCCCUAGAGAGGGUCAUUUUAUUGGCUUUACCACUUGUAUGGUAAAUAUAGUGACCUUAUGAAGUAGCAUCCUCAAGAAAAUGACAGAUUUCUAGGAUUGUGGUAUAAUGCAGUAAGACACAUUUGACAGAGAUUUAACAAAAUUCUUUAAUAAAAUUUAUAAAAAAGAAUAUUUUCAGAAUUGUUUUCCUUUCCCACCCUCAAAGAAAAUACAAAAUUAUCAGCACCCACACACAGACACUCAAAAACUACAGUGGCGUUCUCUCUACAGACCUGCAUUACUUUAAAUUACUGUAAAAUCAUGGCAAUGCCUAAAAGUGAUUGCAGAAAUGAUCCUUUUCUUCUAAAAACAGUUGACAGCGGCGCUCCUUAGAUAACCAGACAAAAAGAAUUUUGCCAAAUCAAGGUUUUCCCUCCGCAUAACCCUUCAGAGCAAUGAUUUCUUCCUUCUGCUAAAACUUGCUAAUAGUCUCAGUUUUCUCAGUUCCCAUGUACUCUCGACCAAGACUGUCCAUAGGCACAUGGAGAUUCUGCCCUUCAGAUACUAGCCAUGCAUGGCUCACGACUCCUGCUAGAAAACAUGUUUAGCUCUAGAAGAAUGAAGGAGUCUCCAGGUAGACCCACUCAACCAUCCUGUCUGCCGUGUUGCCACACCAAAGAUACCCUCUCCUGCAGUCUCCAAAGCCCACUCGUCAUGUGUUCCCCUCUCCUGUAAUAAGCCACCUUCUGGCUUUGCAGCACUUCAGGCACUGUCUUGAGCCUUGGAAUCACUCAUUUUUAUGAAAAACAGUAAAAAGUAAGUGGUAUCUGAAAGUUCAUCACAUUUUCUGGGUUAAGAGUUCAUGUUUAGAACCACAGUACCAUUUAUUGACAUUCUUAGGACAUUCCAUUCCAACUUAGAGCAAGUAAAUGGGCAGAUGCCCAUUUCAGGUUACGUGCUCAGGAGCUAGAAAAGGAAAGCUGUGAAAGCACUGGAGGACACAGUGGGCAGACCAAAGGAAAAAAAAAAUCUAAGAACGCACACUUUCUGCUCCUGACAACAACUGUCUGGGGCAAUGUAAUGGAAUUCAAAGGAAUUCUUAGUGGAUUUGAGAAGCUGAAAGACCAGUGCCGCAAUAGGAGAGGAAAAGCUUAUGUUUAUGAGCCAAUUACAGAUUGCCUACGUACAAAACAAGACGGGCAGUAGGGUAUCUUUUGGACAUUGCCACCAUGUAGCAUCCAAGCAGUAGGUCGUCAACCUUUGUAGCACAUACAGAUUACAUCUAGAAAGUAAAAAAUUCUAACUUCUUUCCCGAUCAGUCUCUCUGCCCCAGAAAUUCAAGUGAGAGGAAUUGAAAAACAUUUCUGAGCACACGAGUACAGAGACCUGGCUCUCCGCGUCUGUCUCGAGUCCUAGUCGUCCUCUCCGCCGCCGUACAUGUCGGCCAGCUUCUUGAAGCGAUUGCCCCACUCGUUCAGGUAGUCAUAGUCCUGGUCCUGGUCCGACUCUGAGGAGUUCAGAGAGCUCAGACUGGAAGCUUCGGAACCGUUUCCUUCGUAGUCAAACACCAGCAGAGAGUCGUAAGGUGGGGCUGUGGGGUCACCGUCCGCCGCCUUCAGGUUCUGGAAGAGAAGAGGACCUCUCAGUUAACGGAAUCUCAUGCCUGUCCUCUCAGGCCCACAGCUGCCUCCUGAUGCCUGAAGUACCUACACAAUGACACACCCUCCCCCUCCUUGGGGCUCCAGGAGCAGCAACCACUGCCGGGGACACCUGUAUGACACUGACACAAAGGCAGAUGUGUGUCUUCUCCCUCUAAAGCAAAAUGGUAAAUUAUAUAUAGGCAGGAGAGAGGCACCGAACCAUCAGAACGGGCAGAGCUAAAAACAAUGAGGACAGUGGUCCAGGCUACAUUUUCAGCCUGGAAAGGUCAGGAAGGACUCAAUUUUAUUUAUGUAUUUUUAUAACUCACAUUUUUAAAAUUGCAAACAUUUUGGUGAUUGAAAAACAGGCUGCAAGGGCAUGUGGAUUGAGGAAAAAACCCGACUCCAAAUACAUCUCAGAGGCACGGUUUAAAUGGGCCCUUUCAAAGAGCCCGUGGCUGGGUUACCUCCCCACUGCUAUACUUCGUGGAAUUUCUGGUGACAAUCCAGCAGCAAGCAAAAGCAGUCCCUUCCUAAAGACUCCCACAGAGCACCCACAGACCUUCAGGGAAAAAACCUGAAAAUCAGUCUAUUCUGGCACCAGUGAACAGACAGAUCAUUUUGUUGACCGUUUUCAUCAAGACCAUGUAAUGGCAAGGUCACAACAGCUUCGGGUGCACGACAGUUUGCUAGAGAAGAAAGGGAUUUGCUCUCUCUGCUGCCCUGCCUGCUGCCUGACUGGAAUACAGACUAAAGGCCUGGAAGUGUGGCAACCUCUUGUGCUUACGAAGCAACAAGCCAGAGAACAAGGAUCUGCACACUUGGAUCAGACUGCAGCACUGCCUAAUGCCUUAGCCACCACCGUUACAGUUUUCAACCUAAGAGUCGCCAGAAGAGCACUGGAAAUGCAUGGACGGAACGGUCGUGAGGAGCGGUUGCAGCUUAAAAUCCACAGUGACACAGAGCUGCUGCGGCUGUCUGCCUUGUCCUGGCCAUUGCUUCCUCCACGUUGAGAUCCCAUUAAGCUUCUCACCACAGUUUAAAAGACCCACCUGGUCUUCUUCUCCGCCUCCUUCUUCAUCAUAGUAGUAAACAUUAUCUCGGGUGUCAUCUUCAGGGGGUAGUAAGGGCUCCUUGACCACUCUUCUCCUCCGGAUGAGCAAGAGGAGCAGCAGGACUAGGACUGGGGAGGAGGAGAGAACCGUGAGGACCCAAGCGACUAUUUGCACCCCUGCCAUGCACACCAGGCCGGUGGCUCUCCCAUCCCUAAAGUUAACAUCUGCAGCAUGACAGAAUGGCGGUUCAUGUGAACUCAGGCAGCUAUUUCCCCAAAUCCAGGGGCGUGUUAUGGGCAAAGGCCCUGUGCAGGAGCAUGCUGGUGUGAGGAAGGAAAGGCGAGGUCAGUGUACGGCGAGUGAGGUGAGACAAGUGGAGACAAGGUCAGGAGGGUGCCGGCAGAGAUGGGUGGCACAUGGGCAGGACUUGGGCUUUGAGUGGUUAGAGCCACGAACAGGACUGUCAGCCUAAGUGGGGUUGAUACAAACAUAAUCAGUUAAAGGGGGUGGGCACAGCCUAUAAAAAUCAAUUUCCAAAGUUCUCAUCUGAUCUUGGGCUAUUUCUAGGAUGUCAUAAGUUGCUAAACAACAGGGAUACAUUCUGAGAAAGAUGCCACUAGGUGAUUUCACUGUGUGACUGUCCCUGAGUGUACUACACAACCCUCCCUUCCUCUUAGUCACUGACACCGGGCAUGCCCGCCCCACUGCCAAGUUUAAUUGUGUGUGUGACCACCCAGUUUAGACUGGGAACUUGCAGGCUCCCAUGGAGGCAGGAGCGUGUGCGUGUGUGUCCCCCACAUGCCGUCUCCAAGGUAGGUGCCUUCCACUCCCCGAUCAGCCUUCCUCCAGGGUGGAAUGUAGAAGCGGUGGGGAGCUCGCUUGCUCUGGCCGUGCUGCUGAGGACAGUGCCACAGGGCCUCGCUGCCUCGAGUGUGGCCAAGGUCCUGUGUGCCUAACUGAGAACUGGUAAUAAAUGUGGAAGCUGAGGCCCUACCCCAUACCUGCUGGACCAGAAUUCUCAUCCUGGUCCAGCACACAUGGUCAGUAUAUACUCGAGCUUGAUCAAUACCUUCUUGAAGGAUGAAAGCACAACUUAGUAGAAGAAUGGGGUUCUGCGUUGACUUAACAGAACAGGCUGCAUUUUGACCUUAGACCCACAAGCCAGUAAUGUUCAGUAAGAGAUGAACCUCCCAUGUUUAUAAGUCAAAGGCUGGGGAAGGCAACCUGCUGCUUGUACUUACUCAGGAAAGCGAGGAUUCCUCCAAGUAUGCCCAGGAGAGCAGGAACUUGCAAUCCAGCUUCGGCAAAUGGCACGGCACGCUUACAUUUGUUGAUGACAGGCCCUUCACAGUCACACACAUACGCAUCUAAGGUGGUCACCUGGUCUUUUCCCUGGUUAUCUGUGAGCUUGAGACUUAUUUUGUGGUCGCCCAAUUCUAAGGAUUUCUUGGGCAUCAAAAUGAUAGAUUCCUUGUCUGAAAAGAAGCAACAAAAAAUACAAUGGGGGAAGGGAAGGAAAAAGCUCAUUCUAGAAUAAAAUUACAAGGGAAUGAAAGACAUUCCAAAGUGAGUAAAGAAAACAUCUGCCUGGACUGUGAUUACUGGGCAGUGUGGCAGAGUCAGCACCCCAGAAAGGAAAGGGUUAGAAUUCCUCAAAGGUAGAAGCGGCAAGGAAACAAGUACCAAUGGCAAGGGGUGACAUCUGAAAGCUGAGAAGGGACAUUCAGAAAAGUCAUAGGGGCCAGGGAAACACAGGUGACUGAAUGGGCCGAGUUCCCACCUAACUCUUUGUACUGAACGGUCCAGUUGGCACUUGAGCCAUGGAUCAGUUCUGCUGUGAAGGGAGCCGUGUUGGGGGGAAGAUCGGGAUCAAUGAUGGUGAUGUCCUGAGGCUGAGGGUUCCUCUGGCAGAAAUCAACGUUUCGAGGUUCUGGUACGGGGGCAUUGUCAUUCACAUCAAGCAGGAAAAGGAGGAGGGUUCCCGUUCCUGUCAUAGCUGGAGAACCUAAGAGAAAAUAGGAGGAAGGUAGCAUCUUCAGGAACACGGAUGAAUCCAUAUUAGCUCCAUCAGACCAAAUUCAAUUCCGGUCUAGCUCUCCAGGGACCCAUCACCACCACGCCCACAGAGCCUGCGGUGCUGCUGUGCCUGCGGCUUCCUCGCCCCGUGUCCAUUCCCCACGUGGGCAACAAUUGGCAACAAUUAUUCAAGUUAUUCCUCACACCGCAGACACCCUCCUGCCUCCACAGAGCUGUCCUUUAAGCACCUGCCCACUACCCACUAACUAUGAAUCACUUAACCACCCAAAGAAGUCCUCGCUGUUGCCCACCAGGUUCUCCCUUUCUGAUCUUCUAUAGUUUUAAUGUCAUGAUUAGAGCAACGUCCUGCAAGUUGCUUUUCAAACAACUUCUCACACUUCUAUCUGCACCUUGUUUACAGCCUGACACCUGAGACUAGAAAGAAACUGAAGGAAGAAAAAUCAUCGGUAUUAAUAUAUUAUAGGGGAAAGAGGUCUAUAUCUCAAACCUGUUAACAGAUGUGAAUGAUGAGACUGUGUGGACUUUUUCCGUUUUUAAAAAAGGAUUAAAACAAAACAAACAAAUAAAUAAAUAAAAACAUGCCUCUGUUUAAAAAAAUAAAUAAAUAUCUUUUGUUUUACAUUUUGAAUUAGCUCAUAUUUUCUGAGAAACCUCACUCUGCAAUUAAACCUUACAACACUUUGAGUCAUGCACCAUCAUAGUAACACUUGGAGGAAUCAUUCAGAACCACCACUCCUGAGCCAUCAGAAUGCUGCAGGUCAGCAAACUAAGGACUUGUUGCCCCAGAGGAGCCCCGCUAUAUCAUCUCUUACAGGCUGUCUAGGCUGCUUUUAAGCUACAACAUGACAGAAACUGUUUGGUGGCCUCCAAGGCUAAAAUAUUACUCCCCGGUCACUUACUGAAAGUUUGCCACCCUGAGGCUUAUUGGCAUUUCUUCCACUCACGGGUAGCAGGGCAGCUGAGGCAGCAGCUAACAUUCCCUUUCUGCAAAAGCACCCUGCAAUUGGCACCCCAUCAUGGCGGGGCUUGCCCUGCUCUCUGCUUCCCAUCAGCCUACUCCCAAAUUACAGGUCUUGGAGCAGGUUUUAUUCUUUUUUUUUUCCUUUUUUUUUUUUUUUAGA
This is a long non-coding RNA of Talpa occidentalis (Iberian mole), 7366 nucleotides long. RefSeq lists it as uncharacterized. Lineage: Eukaryota; Metazoa; Chordata; Mammalia; Eulipotyphla; Talpidae. The record is from RefSeq and is a predicted model, not a curated record. The transcript has 4 exons.